Molecule: unclassified non-coding RNA, 237 nt
Filed under: Hevea brasiliensis (rubber tree)
Lineage: Eukaryota; Viridiplantae; Streptophyta; Magnoliopsida; Malpighiales; Euphorbiaceae
Source: RNAcentral
CAAAUCCAAAUUUUAAGUGGGAAAGGCAACCACAAAUUCAAGUUUGGAGGGAGCAAUCAGAUAAUGGGGAAACUUUGGUCAAGUUGGAGUCCUAUGGCCCACUUGAAAGUAUCACUUUCUUUCAGGAAGCAUUGAAGAAUAAUGAGCUAAAUUAUAAUGGAAAUACAGUUUCUCUACCCUUCAACUUUUACAUCCUCAAAUGGGCUGCUGGUACUCGCCAGAUUCUAAAUGAUGUGC